This is a long non-coding RNA of Scylla paramamosain (green mud crab), 1309 nucleotides long. RefSeq lists it as uncharacterized. The transcript is spliced from 6 exons. The record is from RefSeq and is a predicted model, not a curated record. Lineage: Eukaryota; Metazoa; Arthropoda; Malacostraca; Decapoda; Portunidae.
CUGAUAACUUCGUGUCACUACAGGUCGACUGUGGUACAACGGAUUUAAAAGUGAUAGUGUUCUGGCGCUGUUGUUAACCAGCUACCGAACACAUCAAAAGCUUCCAAUUACAGCGACACAGACACACACACAUACACAGGCCAGUUAAACUUGUGGAAGAGUAGUGUUAACACCACAGCCCGACACCACACCACAUCAUACCAUACCCACACCACACGGCACCAUCAAACCACACCACCACCAGGUACCACCACACACCACCACCACCACCACCAGAUACACCACACACCACCACCACUACCACCACCAUCACACACCAUACGAUAGUACUCAACACCACACCACAGCACCACACCAUGGUAUCCUUGGCGCCCCGACCUAACCAGCAUCGCCGAGCCCUGCCAAGCCCCUCCGACCCCUGCCCCGUCCCGAAGCCGCUAAGAUGACUAGUUCGAACUACACUGAAGACCCAGAACUCAGAGUAUGAGGCACAACUAAAGCAUUUCAAACCAAUUACGUCCCAGACUUCAAGAGCGAUUCACCAGCGGCACAGUGCUCUCGUCUGGAGGAAAUUUGAGUCUCCUACAGCAUUUUUCUGCCUGUGACACGUGAGAUCCCUAUGUUGUGGGCAGCAUGGAACUUCACCUCGCACGGGACAGCCUCCAGUAUAAAUCAAGACGUCAGGGGAGUGUCAUCAACUUACUUUCCCGGCUGCCUGGCUCCCCACCUCCCGCCGGCCCCUCAUGGGUCACAUUUCAACAGUGUGUUCUUUGGAAUCUUGUCAAGGAUUGAGGAGGAGGAGGCAGACAGGUGUCCUGGUUGAGGCUAAGUGACAGAAGGCGGAUUCCACCCUCCUUGGCACCAAGAAGUGAUAUUUGUUGAGGAAGUUCCAUGUCAAAAGUGGAACACAAGUUUUUGAGGCACUCAUGCUUCAUGACUGUGUCUCUGUAUCUUGUGAAGAAAUUCCUCAGUGAAUCCCAAUGGAACUGUAAAAGGGAAAAUUAAAUCAAUGGCUUGAUGGGGUUGAGGCAGAGCUCAACGUGAAGACUCCUGACCACCGGCACAGCAGCAGCAGUGAAUAAGGACACACACAGGAAGGUGACAUCACACAGGCUCAGUUGAAUAACAUCUGUGGCACUCUGGAAACACAUUAUACUAGCUAGUCUUUUCUGCUAAGUGAAAUCAUAAUGUGAUGAUAUGUUAUCAAUAAAUGACAAUUUUGUAACUAGAUUACUCAAAUCCUUAUAACCUGCACACAAAACAUGAUUCAACUUUACUGUCAAAUUUGCAAAUUAAAUAUACAAAGAUC